CAGUCACACACUCACAGGCAGUCACACAGAGACAGUCACACACUCACAGUCACACACUCACACAGUCACACACUCACAGGCAGUCACACAGAGACAGUCACACACUCACAGGCAGUCACACAGAGACAGUCACACACACACAGAGACAGUCACACACUCACAGGCAGUCACACAGAGACAGUCACACACUCACAGGCAGUCACACACAGA
This is a non-coding RNA of Pelobates cultripes (western spadefoot toad), 210 nucleotides long. The record is from the annotation of a GenBank genome assembly. Lineage: Eukaryota; Metazoa; Chordata; Amphibia; Anura; Pelobatidae.